This is a long non-coding RNA of Bombus pyrosoma, 1858 nucleotides long. RefSeq lists it as uncharacterized. The record is from RefSeq and is a predicted model, not a curated record. Lineage: Eukaryota; Metazoa; Arthropoda; Insecta; Hymenoptera; Apidae. The transcript is spliced from 2 exons.
CCCGGGUGCUCUCUCCGGGUACUCUUCUCUCCACUGCCUGGAACGUACCGUCCUGGCCAUACCUAACCUCUACUGUUUUCUGCGGCUAGCGCCCUUGCUGAUGUUCCUCAACAUCGGAGCACGUAGCCGCUUACGCAGACUUCGAUGUCAUUCAUCUUGAGCGAGGUCGAUUAUUGUUCUCUUUCGGGUACCUUAUGUCCGUACGAGUAUGAUGUCACGCAGUACUUAGGAGCACAGCAGCCUCUGUUAAAAACCAUAGGAAAAUGUUCAAAAUUAUUUCUCUUCGCUUAAUUGGUUGAAUUUGUGAAAAUUUUUAUAUUAGUUUAUAAUAACUUUAAUUGUUCGAAAAUGGACAACCUUUCCGAACGAAUACGUAUAACUUUUUGAAACAAAAUAUCUGUGCCAAUGUUCAGACUAAGGUUAUGUAGAGUACAUACUAAUAUUUUACUAUGCAUGUUUUAUAUCGUUGAAAUGGGAGUAAUUUUCCUCUUCAUUUAAAAGAAACGACAUUCGUUACUUAAAAUAAAAUUUCUCCUAUAAUUAGUAAUACCAACGAAAUUUUAGAACCGUAUAAUAAACGUUAUAUUAAUAAACACCAAGAGAAGUUGAAUCCACGGUUUUAUAAAGCAUAUUAUGACUUCUAUGUAGCACAAAGAAUACAAGCAAUAACGUAGAUGGUACGUGAGGAAUGGGGGAAUUGUAUAUACAUAUACAAGUUAAACGAGAGUGUAUUCUUUAUAUAUAUUCGUUAUAUAUAUACAUAUAUAUAUAUACACAUAUAUAUAAAGAAUACACGACCCGUAAAAAUCCAUAUUUAAAACACCAGGACUUCACCUUCAUGAGAGAAAUUAAUAAUUCGUCCCUUUUCUUUUUUUGCUUCACAGUUUUAUACCAGCCUGUCCAGAGUUCUAUCUGGGAAAUUUAGAUUUCGUUGGAAUUUCAAAAAACCAUCCGAAUCGAUAAUUCACUGUUAGAGACGAGAGACUAAUUUUUUCAAAUGAUCGUACCUAAUUCACUCAUCGUUGCCAGGCACGAGAAAAAGUGGAUAUAUAGAGGCGCGAGAACAGCAUGCUUUCGACAAUCGUCAACGAGAUACGUCGGUCCACGCAAUGACGUCAGAGGCUGGUCCAAUCCUGUCGAAUACGUCCGUGGCCCGAUCUCACCCUAUUGAGCGAGAGAGAAAGGAAGAUGCGGUGUAUACAUACAUAAGGUAAGCUAGACAAAGACGGAAUGACAGGUAUAUAGAUAUCGACAGGGAGAAAAGAGACAGAGAAAGAGAGUCGCAGAGGGACGCAAGAGCCAGCAAAUAAGAGCACAGUCCGACAAAUAGAAGGAGAAGACAGUUCGAGUUCCGCUCUCCUGCUCUUACGAGACGUUGUGCACGCUGAUUCAAGCCUUGCGAUAUUGUUGCCAGAAUUGUUCAUUAUAAUUUACAAUGUUCAGAAUAUUCCUGAUGUGAUCGUUGAGACAAAUCCUGAUUUUCUAUGACAUAUGACGCGUUCGAGCACAAAUACAUAUAAGUAUUUUUCAUACAUGACAAAUUAUUUUUCAUGCAAAAGAACGAAAGAGGUUAUGCGACAACAAUUGAGAAAAGAAAGUAUUGAAACACCUACAUAUUUUCUAUUCUAUUCAAAUGCCUAAACUAGAAGUUCAUUAAAUGUUAUAGCUUUAACAGACAUGAUCGACAACGUAAAAUAAUUUUAACUGUGUUUUAUAUUUUUACCGUCCACAAAUUACGAAAGAGAUUCAAUGCUAGCUUGAUGUUAGAGUUAGAAUUUAAAAUUUCCAGUAAAAAUCCCGUCUUUCGAACUUCAUUGCAUAUUUAUCGACUAGCAGUAAUAAAUGGACUUACAAAUUA